AACGAACGCUGGCGGCAUGCCCAACACAUGCAAGUCGAACGAGAUCUUCGGGUCUAGUGGCGCACGGGUGCGUAACGCGUGGGAAUCUGCCCUUUGGUUCGGAAUAACAGUUGGAAACGACUGCUAAUACCGGAUGAUGACGAAAGUCCAAAGAUUUAUCGCCAGAGGAUGAGCCCGCGUAGGAUUAGCUAGUUGGUGUGGUAAAGGCGCACCAAGGCGACGAUCCUUAGCUGGUCUGAGAGGAUGAUCAGCCACACUGGGACUGAGACACGGCCCAGACUCCUACGGGAGGCAGCAGUGGGGAAUAUUGGACAAUGGGCGAAAGCCUGAUCCAGCAAUGCCGCGUGAGUGAUGAAGGCCUUAGAGUUGUAAAGCUCUUUUACCCGGGAUGAUAAUGACAGUACCGGGAGAAUAAGCUCCGGCUAACUCCGUGCCAGCAGCCGCCGUAA
Molecule: ribosomal RNA, 449 nt
Filed under: uncultured bacterium
Lineage: Bacteria
Description: partial 16S ribosomal RNA
Rfam family: Bacterial small subunit ribosomal RNA
Source: RNAcentral